ACUGGGACUGAGACACGGCCCAGACUCCUACGGGAGGCAGCAGUGGGGAAUAUUGCACAAUGGGCGCAAGCCUGAUGCAGCGACGCCGCGUGAGGGAUGACGGCCUUCGGGUUGUAAACCUCUGUUAGCAGGGAAGAAGAGAGAUUGACGGUACCUGCAGAGAAAGCGCCGGCUAACUACGUGCCAGCAGCCGCGGUAAUACGUAGGGCGCGAGCGUUGUCCGGAAUUAUUGGGCGUAAAGAGCUUGUAGGCGGUUUGUCGCGUCUGCUGUGAAAGGCCGGGGCUUAACUCCGUGUAUUGCAGUGGGUACGGGCAGACUAGAGUGCAGUAGGGGAGACUGGAAUUCCUGGUGUAGCGGUGGAAUGCGCAGAUAUCAGGAGGAACACCGAUGGCGAAGGCAGGUCUCUGGGCUGUAACUGACGCUGAGAAGCGAAAGCAUGGGGAGCGAACAGGAUUAGAUACCCUGGUAGUCCAUGCCGUAAACGUUGGGCACUAGGUGUGGGGGACAUUCCACGUUUUCCGCGCCGUAGCUAACGCAUUAAGUGCCCCGCCUGGGGAGUACGGCCGCAAGGCUAAAACUCAAAGAAAUUGACGGGGGCCCGCACAAGCGGCGGAGCAUGCGGAUUAAUUCGAUGCAACGCGAAGAACCUUACCAAGGCUAAGGCUAAAACUCAAAGGAAUUGACGGGGGCCCGCACAAGCGGCGGAGCAUGCGGAUUAAUUCGAUGCAACGCGAAGAACCUUACCAAGGCUUGACAUGCACGGCGACACUGCAGAGAUGUGGUGGCAUUUAGUUGGUCGUGUGCAGGUGGUGCAUGGUUGUCGUCAGCUCGUGUCGUGAGAUGUUGGGUUAAGUCCCGCAACGAGCGCAACCCUUGCCCUAUGUUGCCAGCACGUGAUGGUGGGGACUCGUGGGGGACUGCCGGGGUUAACUCGGAGGAAGGUGGGGAUGACGUCAAAUCAUCAUGCCCCUUAUGUCUUGGGCUUCACGCAUGCUACAAUGGUUGGUACAGAGGGUUGCGAUACUGUGAGGUGGAGCGAAUCCCUUAAAGCCAGUCUCAGUUCGGAUUGGGGUCUGCAACUCGACCCCAUGAAGGUGGAGUCGCUAGUAAUCGCAGAUCAGCAACGCUGCGGUGAAUACGUUCUCGGGCCUUGUACACACCGCCCGUCACGUCACGAAAGUUGGUAACACCCGAAGCCCAUGGCCUAACCGUUUUUGCGGGGGGAGUGGUCGAAGGUGGGAUUGGCGAUUGGGACGAAGUCGUAACAAGGUAGCCGUACCGGAAGGUGCGGCUG
Molecule: ribosomal RNA, 1295 nt
Filed under: human oral metagenome
Description: bacterial SSU rRNA
Rfam family: Bacterial small subunit ribosomal RNA
Source: RNAcentral